Sitodiplosis mosellana (orange wheat blossom midge) is the source of this 288-nucleotide long non-coding RNA. RefSeq lists it as uncharacterized. The record is from RefSeq and is a predicted model, not a curated record. The transcript is spliced from 5 exons. NCBI's taxonomy places the organism in Eukaryota, Metazoa, Arthropoda, Insecta, Diptera, Cecidomyiidae.
AUAUUCGAUGAUAAAUUCUUUUUAAAUAUCGUUCAGGAAAUGAUUGGCAAGGGUCACGGCAAUAAAGUGGAUCAUACCGUUUCUCGAUCAACUGUUAAAUUAGCUAAUAAAACUCCUCAAAUGGCAACCUUGGACCUAGUUGACCUGGCCGUUCCCUGGGCUUGAAUACUGAUUAGAGGAAAAAACCCAGCUGCACAAGCAAACGAUGACAAUUGGAUCAAUGAAUUGAAUGUUAUGAUCAUUCUAUCAGAUUACCUUUGUUCACGAUACAUUUUUCUCUGAAUAAAC